RNAcentral lists this ribosomal RNA (495 nucleotides) under uncultured bacterium. Its description in RNAcentral is "bacterial SSU rRNA". It matches the Rfam family "Bacterial small subunit ribosomal RNA", at positions 1 to 468 of the family's 1533-position model. The record is from RNAcentral.
UAGCNCGUACUCCGAAUCUCUGUNUAAAGUUUGAUCAUGGCUCAGCUUGAACGUAGAGCGGCAGGCCUAACACAUGCAAGUCGAACGGUAACAGGAAGCAGCUUGCUGCUUUGCUGACGAGUGGCGGACGGGUGAGUAAUGUCUGGGAAACUGCCUGAUGGAGGGGGAUAACUACUGGAAACGGUAGCUAAUACCGCAUAACGUCGCAAGACCAAAGAGGGGGACCUUCGGGCCUCUUGCCAUCGGAUGUGCCCAGAUGGGAUUAGCUAGUAGUGGGGUAACGGCUCACCUAGGCGACGAUCCCUAGCUGGUCUGAGAGAGAUGACCAGCACACUGGAACUGAGACACGGUCCAGACUCCUACGGGAAGCANCAGUGGGGAAUAUUGCACAAUGGGCGCCAAGCCUUNAUGCAGCCAUGCCGCGUGUAUGAAGAAGGCCUUCGGGUAUGUAACAGUACUUUCAGCGGGGAGGAAGGUGUUGAGGUUAACUAAACU